Molecule: long non-coding RNA, 403 nt
Organism: Erinaceus europaeus (western European hedgehog)
Lineage: Eukaryota; Metazoa; Chordata; Mammalia; Eulipotyphla; Erinaceidae
Exons: 2
Source: RefSeq, a predicted model, not a curated record
GUUGAGGGAGGUGGAGUAGGGAUGGGGAGGGGGAUGUCUAGGCCUGAGUAGCGGGCAUUUGACUAGACAAUUCAUGGCGUCUUCUUCAAUCCUUUCAACUCUCUGCUCUUGCUGAGUCUGAGUCUGAUCACAGCGGAUUACUGAACACUUGCACUGUGAGUGCGCCCUACUCUCUGUGACCCAGCCUUCUAGUCCUGUUCCCAACCCUGACACCGUCUCCCCAGACAAGACUUUAGCCCACCUGCAUGUCAGCUGUCAGGCUCAGGCAAAAAUGACUAAAGUCACAGGCCCCUGGAACAUAGCUGAACUAGACGUCCUGGCUUCUUCCCACACAGACACCCAGUGUCACCUGCUCGGCUCCUGCCUUUGGGUUCCUGUUGAUUAAACAAUUUGUCCUGCUUUA